This 440-nucleotide ribosomal RNA is filed under the name uncultured bacterium. RNAcentral's name for it is "partial 16S ribosomal RNA". It matches the Rfam family "Bacterial small subunit ribosomal RNA", at positions 338 to 795 of the family's 1533-position model. The record is from RNAcentral.
CCUACGGGAGGCAGCAGUGGGGAAUAUUGCACAAUGGGGGAAACCCUGAUCCAGCGACGCCGCGUGCGGGAAGAAGUAACUCGUUAUGUAAAGCUCUUUUAGCACGGAAGAAAAUGUCGGUACCUGAGUAAGAAGCCCCGGCUAACUACGUGCCAGCAGCCGCGGUUAUACGUAGGGGGCAGGCGUUAUCCGGAUUUACCGGGUGUUAGGGGAGCGUAGUCGGGAUGGCAAGUCUGGAGUGAAAGGCGCGGGCUCAACCCCCGGACUGCUCUGAAAACUGUAGGGCUUGAGUGCAGGUGAGGUAGGUGGAAUGCGUGGUGUAGCGGUGAAAUGCUUAGAUAUUAGGAAGAACACCGAUGGCGAAGGCAGCUUACUGAACUGGAACUGACGUUGAGGCUCGAAAGCGUGGGGAGCAAACAGGAUUAGAUACCCGGGUAGUC